GUGGAGUAGGGUGGGCCUCUAAUCCAACAAGACUGGUGUCCUUAAAAGAAGAGGGAAAUAUGGACACAGACAUAGACACAGAGGAAGAUGAUGUGAAGACACACAGGGAAAACAUCAUGUAAAGACAGGCUUGGAGUGGUGCACCUACAAGCCAACACAGAAUCACAGCAUCUCAGAGUUGGAAGGAAUUCUUCAUAUGACCACAUUGAUUUUUUUUUUCCUGUUGGUCGGCAUCAGAUUUGUGAAGGCCCCUGGAAGAUUGGAUGGUGCCUGCCUAUACGGAGGGCGGAUCUUCCCCUCCUCGUCCACUCAGACUCACAUGCAAGUCUCCUCUAGAAACACCCUUGCAGACACACCCCAAAAUGACACUUUUAGAGUGUCUUCGAAGAAGGUAAAUAUUGUUCCCAUUUUGUGGAUAAGAAAAAUGAGAACCAGAGCGAUCAAGGGCUUGCUCAAAAGUACUCAACCAGUUAAUGUCAGAGCUGGCACCUGAACUCAGGCCUCUACAACUCUAAAUGUUUUCAAUGAUAGCAGAAUUGCCUCUAAUGGCAAAACAUUGUAGAAUCAUAUUGAUGUUUCAGAUUAUAUUGCCAGUCGUACUUCGUUGAGCUAUGCUUGGUAAUGCCACUGCCAUCUUGGAAAGAAAAUAGAUGCUGAAGUUCCCCAUAGAUGCUGAACACUCAGAAAGUGCCAAUAGUUGCAUCGAUUUGAUUGUAUCUGCUACCUCAUUCCCUCUGAAACACCUGCAAAUAAAGGAAAAUAACUAA
This is a long non-coding RNA of Homo sapiens (human), 767 nucleotides long. Ensembl annotates it as long intergenic non-protein coding RNA 1641. The record is from Ensembl. Lineage: Eukaryota; Metazoa; Chordata; Mammalia; Primates; Hominidae.